UGUUAUAUCAAGAGCUGGGUGAAACUCGGCUGGGUGAAAUUUCCAUUUGCAGGGAUUAGUAUGAAUCUAUUUUCCAGAUCUGAGGUUCAGAUUCCAACAGAAACUCAAAGCAAAAUUCACCACCAAGUUCUGCCUGAUUUCAGAUGGAAGCAAAAGAUCCAAAACUAUACUUCAUGUGGCUUCCCCCUGAGAAAUGCCAUGAGGCCAGGGACCCAUUGUGCUAUGUGAAGAAGAUGGUCCCUACCCAAAAUACUGUACCUGGAUGGAGGCCUGAGGCUGGAUCACUUUAAGGGACCUGAGUUUGGACUUCUGAGUACCAGUAAGGUAAUAAGGAAGCUGUUUUAUGCUGGCUUGGUAAAUCUAAGUAUUGGAAUAUCCACCAGCUUUAUGGGGAUUCUCCGCCCCAUUCUUUGCGGUUCACCCUAAUUGAAUGACCAUAGCUGGCUCCCCACUAGG
Mauremys reevesii (Reeves's turtle) is the source of this 456-nucleotide long non-coding RNA. RefSeq lists it as uncharacterized. Lineage: Eukaryota; Metazoa; Chordata; Testudines; Geoemydidae. The record is from RefSeq and is a predicted model, not a curated record. The transcript has 3 exons.